This 800-nucleotide ribosomal RNA is filed under the name uncultured Geobacter sp. Its description in RNAcentral is "bacterial SSU rRNA". It matches the Rfam family "Bacterial small subunit ribosomal RNA", at positions 8 to 785 of the family's 1533-position model. The record is from RNAcentral. Lineage: Bacteria; Pseudomonadati; Thermodesulfobacteriota; Desulfuromonadia; Geobacterales; Geobacteraceae.
AGAGUUUGAUCCUGGCUCAGAACGAACGCUGGCGGCGUGCCUAACACAUGCAAGUCGAACGGGGAUAGGGAGCUUGCUUCCUAUUCUAGUGGCGCACGGGUGAGUAACGCGUAGAUAAUCUGCCCGACGAUCCGGGAUAACAGUUCGAAAGGACUGCUAAUACCGGAUAAGCCCACGGGGUCUUUGGACCUUGCGGGAAAAGGGGGGGACCUUCGGGCCUUCUGUCGUCGGAUGAGUCUGCGUACCAUUAGCUAGUUGGUAGGGUAAAGGCCUACCAAGGCGACGAUGGUUAGCUGGUCUGAGAGGAUGAUCAGCCACACUGGAACUGAGACACGGUCCAGACUCCUACGGGAGGCAGCAGUGGGGAAUUUUGCACAAUGGGCGAAAGCCUGACGCAGCAACGCCGCGUGAGUGAUGAAGGCUUUCGGGUCGUAAAGCUCUGUCAGGGGGAAAGAAGUGUAUUAUGGCUAAUAUCCAUGAUACUUGACGGUACCCCCAAAGGAAGCACCGGCUAACUCCGUGCCAGCAGCCGCGGUAAUACGGAGGGUGCGAGCGUUGUUCGGAAUUAUUGGGCGUAAAGCGCGUGUAGGCGGUUUGUUAAGUCUGAUGUGAAAGCCCCGGGCUCAACCUGGGAAGUGCAUUGGAAACUGGCAGACUUGAAUACGGGAGAGGGUAGUGGAAUUCCUAGUGUAGGAGUGAAAUCCGUAGAUAUUAGGAGGAACACCGGUGGCGAAGGCGGCUGCCUGGACCGAUAUUGACGCUGAGACGCGAAAGCGUGGGUAGCAAACAGGAUUAGAUAC